UCUCAACAGGAGACAGAAGCGAUGGAGGUCCAGCAGAUGGACGCGGGGCAGGACAACACACCCAAGUCUGCCCAAAUCCAGACAUCACAACCACAGGCCACAGGGAAACCUCAUGAGAUCAGAGAGAUGCUCUGUACCGACAAUAAGCAGGAUCACAGAGAAAGCAGCGAGUCUCUGACAGACACGGGUAUAACCAGUGAUGAUGCAUUACUGCUUCCAGAUCAUAUACCUACAAUUUCACACAAAAUAGAGAAAGAGAAACACGCUCUCCCCAAUGGCUCGCCCGCUAUAGUCAGUAAUGGAUCGACUGUUGUGUGCACAUCACCAUCAGAAAGAAGCAAAGCUCGUACCACAACGUCACCGAAAUGCAGCGGACACACAAAGUGCAAAGGACACAGACACCCGCAGAAGAAACACCCGCACAAAAAACACCCGCCAUCCACCUCCAAAAGUCAGCAGAGCUUUAAGGGAGACGCCUCUCAGAUUCAGAAAGUCGCUGGAGAUGAUUGUUGUGCUCACUGUAUCCUGGCGUGUCUGUUUUGUGAGCUGAUGUCGUGUUGUUCGGUGAUGGCUCAGUGUUUGGCGUGUGGUUUGGAGUGUGAUGCUCUCUGUUGCUGCGGUGAAGCUGCCACCGGUGGACUUGCGUGCUGUGCUGAAGAUAGCUGCUCUGCACUGCUGGAUUGUGGGAUACUGGAGGAUUGUUGUCAGUCGUCAGAUUGUCUGGAGAUCUGCUUGGAAUGCUGCUCCAUCUGUUUUCCUACCUGAAACGACAACUAUGAACAAAGCAAAUCAAGUGUGACUUUAAAAACAAACAGAAAGCAUCGAGUUAUUAUCUUGUGUAUUGUAUUUAUUUGGUGUAAAGGAUGAGUUUGCUGCUUAGACCAAAAUCUGACUGUUCUUACAAACCUACUUAAAGUCUUAUCUGGGUGCUGCAGGAAUUCUGCACGGAUGCAAAAAUAACCAUCCAGAAAGCCUGCAUAUUCCUCUGGGCAUGUUGAAUUUCACAGUCUUUCUCCAGAUGACUUUGCCCGUGGCCUGAUCUGCUCUCUGCUCUUUAGAUAGCGGGCAUAGAGGACGCUGAUGUUGAAUCUGCGUGUCCAAUAAAAU
This is an RNA transcript of Misgurnus anguillicaudatus (oriental weatherfish), 1107 nucleotides long. RefSeq lists it as uncharacterized. NCBI's taxonomy places the organism in Eukaryota, Metazoa, Chordata, Actinopteri, Cypriniformes, Cobitidae. The record is from RefSeq and is a predicted model, not a curated record.